Molecule: ribosomal RNA, 253 nt
Filed under: uncultured bacterium
Lineage: Bacteria
Description: partial 16S ribosomal RNA
Rfam family: Bacterial small subunit ribosomal RNA
Source: RNAcentral
UACAGAGGUCUCAAGCGUUGUUCGGAUUCAUUGGGCGUAAAGGGUGCGUAGGUGGCUUGGUAAGUCGGAUGUGAAAUCCCGGGGCUCAACCCCGGAACUGCAUUCGAUACUGCCAGGCUGGAGUACUGGAGAGGAGAUUGGAAUUUACGGUGUAGCAGUGAAAUGCGUAGAUAUCGUAAGGAAGACCAGUGGCGAAGGCGGAUCUCUGGACAGUAACUGACGCUGAGGCACGAAGGCCAGGGGAGCAAACGGG